CUGGGGGCGGUACAGCUGCAUCCGGGGCUCUUGGGCUUGUCCAGUAACCUAUGCAGGUCUGCCCUGCCUCAGGCCAAUGCUGAUGUCUUAACAAGAAUGGAAAGAAUACUGAUUGUUAGUGGUUUUGAAUGAUACCUAGCUUCAAGCAAAGGUGCAAGAUGAGAAAAGAGGCUGUGGUGAGAAAAGAUUGUAACAGGACCUACUUAAAAGGUCAUUUGGGAAUGGAACAUGAAGAUAGUAAAGAAAAGAAUUUCCUUUUCUUGAAGAACUGCAUUGGACACUCUCUAUAUAAUGUCUCAUUUCACCAUUAUAAAGUCUGUUGACUCUGAAAUUGUUUUUGAAAGAUGCAAUUAAUAUUGCAUUUGGACUAAGUGAUAUAUUGGGGAAGGAAAUAAGACUAUGAAGGAGACAAGAAGUAUGCCAUCAAGAACUUGAAAGAACCUCAAACCUUUUAUGAUAUAAUGUAGUCCUUAUUCCCUUUGCCAAUUUAUUUUAUACUCUAGUGAAAUUACUUUCUGAUUUGAAUCUUUUCUUUUUCCUUCCUAUCUUCCAUACACAUAAUAAAGACA
Neofelis nebulosa (Clouded leopard) is the source of this 569-nucleotide long non-coding RNA. RefSeq lists it as uncharacterized. NCBI's taxonomy places the organism in Eukaryota, Metazoa, Chordata, Mammalia, Carnivora, Felidae. The record is from RefSeq and is a predicted model, not a curated record. The transcript has 4 exons.